UUAAUGUGCUUUACUUUAGUU
Molecule: non-coding RNA, 21 nt
Filed under: Caenorhabditis elegans
Lineage: Eukaryota; Metazoa; Nematoda; Chromadorea; Rhabditida; Rhabditidae
Source: RNAcentral